UCGCCCUCAAAUCAGGUAGGACUACCCGCUGAACUUAAGCAUAUCAA
RNAcentral lists this ribosomal RNA (47 nucleotides) under Sungouiella intermedia. RNAcentral describes it as "[Candida] intermedia partial 28S ribosomal RNA". Lineage: Eukaryota; Fungi; Ascomycota; Pichiomycetes; Serinales; Metschnikowiaceae. The record is from RNAcentral.